UGCAGUCGAACGCCCCGCAGGGGAGUGGCAGACGGGUGAGUAACGCGUGGGAACAUACCCUUUCCUGCGGAAUAGCUCCGGGAAACUGGAAUUAAUACCGCAUACGCCCUACGGGGGAAAGAUUUAUCGGGGAAGGAUUGGCCCGCGUUGGAUUAGCUAGUUGGUGGGGUAAAGGCCUACCAAGGCGACGAUCCAUAGCUGGUCUGAGAGGAUGAUCAGCCACAUUGGGACUGAGACACGGCCCAAACUCCUACGGGAGGCAGCAGUGGGGAAUAUUGGACAAUGGGCGCAAGCCUGAUCCAGCCAUGCCGCGUGAGUGAUGAAGGCCUUAGGGUUGUAAAGCUCUUUCACCGGAGAAGAUAAUGACGGUAUCCGGAGAAGAAGCCCCGGCUAACUUCGUGCCAGCAGCCGCGGUAAUACGAAGGGGGCUAGCGUUGUUCGGAAUUACUGGGCGUAAAGCGCACGUAGGCGGAUAUUUAAGUCAGGGGUGAAAUCCCAGAGCUCAACUCUGGAACUGCCUUUGAUACUGGGUAUCUUGAGUAUGGAAGAGGUAAGUGGAAUUCCGAGUGUAGAGGUGAAAUUCGUAGAUAUUCGGAGGAACACUAGUGGCGGAGGCGGCUUACUGGU
Molecule: ribosomal RNA, 627 nt
Filed under: Agrobacterium tumefaciens
Lineage: Bacteria; Pseudomonadati; Pseudomonadota; Alphaproteobacteria; Hyphomicrobiales; Rhizobiaceae
Description: bacterial SSU rRNA
Rfam family: Bacterial small subunit ribosomal RNA
Source: RNAcentral